This 305-nucleotide ribosomal RNA is filed under the name uncultured bacterium. RNAcentral describes it as "partial 16S ribosomal RNA". It matches the Rfam family "Bacterial small subunit ribosomal RNA", at positions 336 to 655 of the family's 1533-position model. The record is from RNAcentral.
UUCCUACGGGACGCAGCAGUGGGGAAUAUUGGACAAUGGGGGGAACCCUGAUCCAGCGACGCCGCGUGAGUGAAGAAGUAUUUCGGUAUGUAAAGCUCUAUCAGCAGGGAAGAAAAAAAUGACGGUACCUGAGUAAGAAGCACCGGCUAAAUACGUGCCAGCAGCCGCGGUAAUACGUAUGGUGCAAGCGUUAUCCGGAUUUACUGGGUGUAAAGGGAGCGUAGGCGGCGCGUUAAGUCUGAAGUGAAAGCCCGCGGCUCAACCGCGGAAUGGCUUUGGAAACUUUUUUGCUGGAGUACCGGAGG